GCGCCCGUAGCUCAGCUGGAUAGAGCGCCGCCCUCCGGAGGCGGAGGUCAGAGGUUCGAAUCCUCUCGGGCGCACCA
This 77-nucleotide transfer RNA is filed under the name Zhongshania aliphaticivorans. RNAcentral's name for it is "tRNA-Arg(ccg)". It matches the Rfam family "tRNA". From Rfam's summary of the family: Transfer RNA (tRNA) molecules are approximately 80 nucleotides in length. Their secondary structure includes four short double-helical elements and three loops (D, anti-codon, and T loops). Further hydrogen bonds mediate the characteristic L-shaped molecular structure. tRNAs have two regions of fundamental functional importance: the anti-codon, which is responsible for specific mRNA codon recognition, and the 3' end, to which the tRNAs corresponding amino acid is attached (by aminoacyl-tRNA synthetases). tRNAs cope with the degeneracy of the genetic code in two manners: having more than one tRNA (with a specific anti-codon) for a particular amino acid; and 'wobble' base-pairing, i.e. permitting non-standard base-pairing at the 3rd anti-codon position. RNAcentral also lists the same sequence under 3 other names. The record is from RNAcentral. Lineage: Bacteria; Pseudomonadati; Pseudomonadota; Gammaproteobacteria; Cellvibrionales; Spongiibacteraceae.